Molecule: ribosomal RNA, 506 nt
Filed under: uncultured bacterium
Lineage: Bacteria
Description: partial 16S ribosomal RNA
Rfam family: Bacterial small subunit ribosomal RNA
Source: RNAcentral
AUUGAACGCUGGCGGCAGGCCUAACACAUGCAAGUCGAGCGGCAGCGGGAAGUAGCUUGCUACUUUGCCGGCGAGCGGCGGACGGGUGAGUAAUGUCUGGGAAACUGCCUGAUGGAGGGGGAUAACUACUGGAAACGGUAGCUAAUACCGCAUAACGUCGCAAGACCAAAGAGGGGGACCUUCGGGCCUCUUGCCAUCAGAUGUGCCCAGAUGGGAUUAGCUAGGAGGUGGGGUAAUGGCUCACCUAGGCGACGAUCCCUAGCUGGUCUGAGAGGAUGACCAGCCACACUGGAACUGAGACACGGUCCAGACUCCGACGGGAGGCAGCAGUGGGUAAUAUUGCACAGUGGGCGCAAGCCUGAUGCAGCCAUGCCGCGUGUAUGAAGAAGGCCUUCGGGUUGUAAGGUACUUUCAGCGGGGAGGAAGGUGUUGAGGUUAAUAACCUCAGCAAUUGACGUUACCCGCAGAAGAAGCACCGGCUAACUCCGUGCCAGCAGCCGCUGUAA